UUCCUACGGGAGGCAGCAGUGAGGAAUAUUGGUCAAUGGCCGAGAGGCUGAACCAGCCAAGUCGCGUGAGGGAUGACGGCCCUACGGGUUGUAAACCUCUUUUGUCGGGGAGCAAGACCCGCCUCGUGCAGGCGGAGCGAGAGUACCCGAAGAAAAAGCAUCGGCUAACUCCGUGCCAGCAGCCACGGUAAUACGGAGGAUGCGAGCGUUAUCCGGAUUUAUUGGGUUUAAAGGGUGCGCAGGCGGCGAGUUAAGUCAGCGGUAAAAUUUCGGGGCUCAACCCCGACGAGCCGUUGAAACUGGCU
Molecule: ribosomal RNA, 305 nt
Filed under: uncultured bacterium
Lineage: Bacteria
Description: bacterial SSU rRNA
Rfam family: Bacterial small subunit ribosomal RNA
Source: RNAcentral